Molecule: ribosomal RNA, 376 nt
Filed under: uncultured bacterium
Lineage: Bacteria
Description: bacterial SSU rRNA
Rfam family: Bacterial small subunit ribosomal RNA
Source: RNAcentral
UACGGGGGGGGCAAGCGUUGUUCGGAAUUACUGGGCGUAAAGGGCGCGUAGGCGGCCUGCUAAGUCGGGUGUGAAAACUCUGGGCUCAACCCAGAGCCUGCAUUCGAUACUGACGGGCUAGAGUUCUGGAGGGGAAAGCGGAAUUCCUGGUGUAGCGGUGAAAUGCGUAGAUAUCAGGAGGAACACCGGUGGCGAAGGCGGCUUUCUGGACAGAAACUGACGCUGAGGCGCGAAAGCUAGGGGAGCAAACAGGAUUAGAUACCCUGGUAGUCCUAGCCCUAAACGAUGGAUACUUGCUGUGAGGGGGAUUGAAUCCCUUCGUGGCGAAGCUAACGCAUUAAGUAUCCCGCCUGGGGAGUACGGUCGCAAGGCUGAA